GGCCUGUAGCUCAGGUGGUUAGAGCGCACGCCUGAUAAGCGUGAGGUCGGAAGUUCGAGUCUUCCCAGGCCCAC
Molecule: transfer RNA, 74 nt
Filed under: uncultured delta proteobacterium
Lineage: Bacteria; Deltaproteobacteria
Description: tRNA-Ile
Rfam family: tRNA
About the family: Transfer RNA (tRNA) molecules are approximately 80 nucleotides in length. Their secondary structure includes four short double-helical elements and three loops (D, anti-codon, and T loops).
Source: RNAcentral